Oncorhynchus keta (chum salmon) is the source of this 824-nucleotide long non-coding RNA. RefSeq lists it as uncharacterized. The transcript has 3 exons. The record is from RefSeq and is a predicted model, not a curated record. Lineage: Eukaryota; Metazoa; Chordata; Actinopteri; Salmoniformes; Salmonidae.
CUCCUCCAAUGGGUUUUGAGAAGGAGACGAGGAGAGAGGACGUGAGGAGUAUGUCAUUUAGAUCUUCCCUGUGCAUCGUCUCUUAACAUUUAUUUAGCUGAUGUUAUCCAUAAAAUCUGCAUCUUUUAAUGAUAAUACCAGAUAGCUUUUCUUAUUAUCUGAUAACACACACACAGACACAUACAUGGUGAGAGAGAGGGAUAAGUACAUUUUAGGCUAUCAGAAGGCUACUUAUAUUUUAGGCUACCAGGUAUCUCACCACAAGCAAUUAUGUCAAACUAUGGGUGUUCAAGGAAGCCAUCACGUAAUGGUUUUAUUAUACUUCUCCUCUGAACAUUUGAAUAGGCAGGCCUGUCAUUGGUCAGCUGCCCACAAGUAAACUGUCCCUGCGAGAGGCGAUGACCCGUCAGGUGAGAGGAGAGAGCAGAUGGCGCGCCGGAGGGCACAGACUGACAGAUCUGACAAUGCAUUGAGUGUGUUUCCGGUGUCCUGGAACGCACCCUGUCUGGUUGCUGGGCGAAUUAGCUUGUUGGGAGAUCGAUGUUCACCCGCACUUGUAUCCCAUCAGUAAUCUGCACACCUGUCCUGAUCAUCACCUCUCCCCCUCAAAAGCUCUGACCUGACAUCCAUUCCCUGCCGGAUCGUUAGCCAUGAACAUUACUCACCCGGAUCAUUUACCCCAUUCCCGCCUGGUCGUCGGAGGAUUCCGCUACCCCAUUGGAUCCACCUAUUUACUCCCAUUAACUCACCACCGCUGCCCGCUACGCCACCUGGAUAUAUCUACCCAUUUACAUUCACUUGUAAAUAAAUACUCACCUUCUUCC